Nannospalax galili (Upper Galilee mountains blind mole rat) is the source of this 507-nucleotide long non-coding RNA. RefSeq lists it as uncharacterized. The transcript has 4 exons. Lineage: Eukaryota; Metazoa; Chordata; Mammalia; Rodentia; Spalacidae. The record is from RefSeq and is a predicted model, not a curated record.
CACAGGACGCUUUUAGGGUCUGCACUCUGCCCACAGUUCCCACUCACUCUGUACAAGCCUUCUUUCGGCCUUUUCACCCAAGGUCUGGUGCUGCUCUCCCUUUUCGUGACCUAGAACCUCCUAAAGCCAAUUUCCCUACAGAGAUCCUGUGUAAGACACCCCCCGCCCUGCGGAGGCCACACUCAUCUCUGGCUCUGGAAUGAGAGGAAGAGCCCUAAGGUGAAAGAAGCAGUUAAACAAAGAUGGAAGAAAUGUUGAAAUAGGAAACAGAACAAGACAACUGGUGUGAUUUUCUCUUCAACCAAUUCAGCUUCUGCUGCUGGAUCCUGCCAAGCUCCUCUACUCCUCUAAGGAAUCCAUCCUAUAGGGGCCCUGCUGGCUCAGGAGGUGACGGACAGUGGGAGCCGUGGAUUCAGCGCGUCCAGGGGUUCUACCGAGACCAGACUCUUCACCUCUAAACCGCUCCAGGAUACUAAUCCCGGUGGCUGGCGGCGCCGCAAGUCAAAU